AAAGAAAGCGUAAUAGCUCACUGGUCGAGUCGGCCUGCGCGGAAGAUGUAACGGGGCUAAACCAUGCACCGAAGCUGCGGCAGCGACGCUGAUGCGUUGUUGGGUAGGGGAGCGUUCUGUAAGCCUGUGAAGGUGUGUCGUGAGGCAUGCUGGAGGUAUCAGAAGUGCGAAUGCUGACAUAAGUAACGAUAAAGCGGGUGAAAAGCCCGCUCGCCGGAAGACCAAGGGUUCCUGUCCAACGUUAAUCGGGGCAGGGUGAGUCGACCCCUAAGGC
Molecule: ribosomal RNA, 274 nt
Filed under: Salmonella enterica subsp. enterica serovar Goldcoast
Lineage: Bacteria; Pseudomonadati; Pseudomonadota; Gammaproteobacteria; Enterobacterales; Enterobacteriaceae
Description: partial 23S ribosomal RNA
Rfam family: Bacterial large subunit ribosomal RNA
Source: RNAcentral